UAGUCCACGCCGUAAACGAUGGACACUAGUUGUUGGGAUUUAUCUCAGUGACUAAGCGAAAGUGAUAAGUGUCCCACCUGGGGAGUACGAUCGCAAGAUUGAAACUCAAAGGAAUUGACGGGGGCCCGCACAAGCGGUGGAGCAUGUGGUUUAAUUCGAUGAUACGCGAGGAACCUUACCAGGGCUUAAAUGUAGUAUGACAGGUUUAGAGAUAGACUUUUCUUCGGACAUAUUACAAGGUGCUGCAUGGUUGUCGUCAGCUCGUGCCGUGAGGUGUCAGGUUAAGUCCUAUAACGAGCGCAACCCCUGUCGUUAGUUGCCAGCAAGUAAAGUUGGGGACUCUAAGGAAACUGCCGGUGAUAAGCCGGAGGAAGGUGGGGAUGACGUCAAGUCCUCAUGGGCCCUUACAGGGCUGGGGCUACACACGUGCUACAAUGGGUAUCUACAGUGAGCAGCGAUCCCGCGAGGGGUUAGCUAAUCUCCAAAAGAUAUCUCAGUUCGGGAUUGGUUCUCU
This 514-nucleotide ribosomal RNA is filed under the name uncultured bacterium. Its description in RNAcentral is "bacterial SSU rRNA". It matches the Rfam family "Bacterial small subunit ribosomal RNA", at positions 791 to 1308 of the family's 1533-position model. The record is from RNAcentral.